UACGUAGGGUCCGAGCGUUGUCCGGAAUUACUGGGCGUAAAGAGCUCGUAGGUGGUUUGUCGCGUUGUUCGUGAAAACUCACAGCUUAACUGUGGGCGUGCGGGCGAUACGGGCAGACUUGAGUACUGCAGGGGAGACUGGAAUUCCUGGUGUAGCGGUGGAAUGCGCAGAUAUCAGGAGGAACACCGGUGGCGAAGGCGGGUCUCUGGGCAGUAACUGACGCUGAGGAGCGAAAGCGUGGGGAGCGAAC
This 250-nucleotide ribosomal RNA is filed under the name uncultured bacterium. RNAcentral's name for it is "partial 16S ribosomal RNA". It matches the Rfam family "Bacterial small subunit ribosomal RNA", at positions 524 to 773 of the family's 1533-position model. The record is from RNAcentral.